GAUGAAGAACGUAGCGAAAUGCGAUACGUAAUGUGAAUUGCAGAAUUCAGUGAAUCAUCGAAUCUUUGAACGCAUAUUGCGCUCUCUGGUAUUCCGGAGAGCAUGCUUGUUUGAGUAUCAGUAAACACCUCAACUUCCAUAUCUUUUUUGAAAUGGGAGUUGGACUUGAGUGAUCCCAACGCUUUUCCUCACCGAAAAGUGGCGGGUUACUUGAAAUGCAGGUGCAGCUGGACUUUUCUCUGAGCUAUAAGCAUAUCUAUUUAGUCUGCCUAAAAAACAGAUUAUUACCUUUGCUGCAGCUAACAUAAAGGAGAUUAGUUCUUGUGCUGACUGAUGCAGGAUUCACAAAGAAAGCUUCGGCCGACUUUGUAAACUCGAUCUCAAAUCAAGUAAGACUACCCGCUGAACUUAAGCAUAUCAAUAAGCGGAGGA
This 432-nucleotide unclassified non-coding RNA is filed under the name soil metagenome. RNAcentral's name for it is "partial contains 5.8S ribosomal RNA, internal transcribed spacer 2, and large subunit ribosomal RNA". The stretch from base 1 to 120 matches the Rfam family "5.8S ribosomal RNA", at positions 35 to 154 of the family's 154-position model. The record is from RNAcentral.